RNAcentral lists this long non-coding RNA (3004 nucleotides) under Hordeum vulgare. RNAcentral's name for it is "long non-coding RNA (HVUL_LNC017752)". The record is from RNAcentral. Lineage: Eukaryota; Viridiplantae; Streptophyta; Magnoliopsida; Poales; Poaceae.
ACAAAUAUAAUAACAAUGAUCCAUGGAAACAAAAUCAUACAUAGCAAAUAUCCAUAUAUAUCAUAGGGUACACAUAUGAGUUCACAAAGUAUCACAUCUAGCUGGGCAUCUUCAAGUCAUGUACACUCUAGGAGCCCUUUCGACCAUCAGCCUCUACACACAUGCUAAGCUGCAACUAUGCUACUGGAAAGGAGACGAAGUAGAACUACUCGUUGUGUCGAGGGGAUGAAAGCGCCGCAUCAGGUUGCAUGUAGCUCCGUACACAUGCUAAGCUGCAACUAUGCUACUGGAAAGGAGACGAAGUAGAACUACUCGCUGUGUCGAGGGGAUGAAAGCGCCGCAUCAGGUUGCAUGUAGCUCCGUGUGACGAGUCAUCGCUAAAGCUCCAUCCCUUCUUCAUGUGUCCACUGAAAUUAACCAAACAAGAAAUAGGUUUCGAUUUAGCUUCAUCAUAUCAAAUAGAUUCAGACUCGAGAACAUCAUUCAUCAUACUAAAGGCAUUUUUUAUCAAUCAAAUAAACUUGUCAAGCAUUUGCAAACAUUAAGCAUCAUACAAAUUAAUGUUGGUUUAAAAUCAAGCUAAUAUUAGAACCAUGAAUGUUCCGAUGUCGAUUGUGCUAACAGUUUCUGCCCGUCAAUGCAAACAAAUACAAUUUUAAAAAAUAGCACGUGUCAACAGGCUCUCCACCCAUUCUAGAUAAAGAACAAAUCACGAAUCAUCUCACAAAGAUUCAGUAAUUUAUAUGUCAAAAACCAGAAAAGACAUUAAUACAUAUUUUUAGUCGUGUUAUAACUGAAAUAACACGCCACAACUAAUCACUGAAGUAUAGUGGGCACUAAGAAUUAAGGUUUUCAAUUACCUCAAGAGUCAUAAAUACUAAGCAUGUAAUGGAUGUCAAAGGAAACAAAUUCAGAAUGAAAGAGCACAUGUGUAUAUGCUCUUCAACCAUUUAGAUAAAGACCAAUCAGAAGUUGACUCACCAAAAUCCAGUUAUUGGGUUGAUAGCAAAUCUAAUGACAAAAAACUAGAAAGGACAUGGCUAGAGAUUUCCAGUUGCUAUAACAAAUGACUCGGUGGCCAUGAAUCGGAGCAUGCUACUGAUGUUGCAUGAAGGACACAAGCUUCAGAACAGAGAGGAGGGAGGAAGAGGAGGAAGAAGGGAGGGGAUGAAGCUCACCAUGAGAUUUUUGAAACAGAUGCCAUGCACGGCUGCCACCACGGUUGUGGGGGAGCCAUCCACCGCCGUCUAGGAAACCACCGGAGGUGAGCCACUGUUGUGCCAGGGUUGGGCCACCACGGGCGUACGUCCCGCAGCCACCAGGUUCAGGAGCACCAUCCUGGUAGGCACGUGUGGGAGUCAUGAAAAAACCAUCUACAAGCAACGAUGCACUCAUUGGCAAAUAUCAGACAAAAAUUUAGAAGGAUAUUAUUACUGUUACAUAUGUUUUAUCAUAUAGCACUUCCAAGUAGACCUCACACAACUAGAGAAUAUGUAUAUCAUUAUCGUAAAAGCCAUUAUUUCAGACUAUGUUCAAUACAGAAUAAUAUAUAUAGCGGACUCGGAAGUUAAAUUUCUUGAUACAAAGUGUGUGACUCGAGAACUUAUCUACUUAAUAAUACAAUUCUUGGUACAAGUGCACGGAAGUCAUCACACUGAAUGUAAGUGGAUAGACCACCAGCCGAGCAGCCCGUAAGAAAAGCCUGGAAUUCAAGAAACGGGUGCCAUCCUAUAUAGAUUAGAGUAUUACUCACGAUAUCUGUUGUGCCGUUGAACUGUAUGAAGUAGGAACUGAGAAGUAAUUUACAAAAGAUUCUACCAACCUGAAAUUCCUCUUCGACAUUUCCGAAAAAUGAUGCACCAUCACAAUACCUUCAAUUUAUUCCAAUUGUAAAAGUCUACAGGUUCAGACAAACCAAUUAAAAUCAAUACCAUCAUGAAUUGACAAGCACCUCAGUUUGUUCAAUUUGUAUACACCACACACACAUAUUGCAACGUACUCCCUACAAGCUACUUGGAGCAACAAUAAAUUAAAGUGGCACAGAUGUUUAUGGUUUUUUAACAGCGAGUGUACAUGCUUGCUGGAGUAGUUGCAGUACCUAGUCAUACUCAUAGCCCUAGACUGGCUACACAAGUGAAGAUAAGGUGCCAGAGCUGGAGCCUGAAAACGUAUAGACUCUUAGCCAUAUCUUCUUGUUUCAACAUAAUAAAAUUAUCACUAAUGAGAAGCUCACCAUCAUCUCUAAACAUGGCAUUUGAAUUUCAGAUUAAAAUACCUAGAGGUUUUCCAUUUCCUUGUGACAAAACUAAAUAAUAAGUAAUGAAACCAUGAACAAUAUGAAAUUAGUACAACAAGCAAAUACUUAAGAUCAUUUUGGUUCAGAAUUCAGCAUCACGUUUCUAAAGCAGAACUUACAGAGACUAUGGCAGCGAAUUUCAAAGCAUCGUACGUCAAACAGAGCAGCGUUCAACAAAACAGCAAAUAACGCCCUACAAUGGCUUCAGGCGGCACCUUUUUGUCCAUUCAGCGCCUCUGAAUUCACCUAGUCUGCCGACUGUGCGGACCUCGUCGGAGAAGCCUCCUGUCGACGUCGCCUCUCGCCUUCAUACAUGCCCUGCCAUGCGCCGCCAACACGCUAGCCGCACCAGGAAUCGAAUCAGCGCGUGUGUCAGCAAUCCGCGGGAGAACCGCUAGAGGAACCAGAUCUGGCUGGUCCAAGCUAUGUGCGUCGUAGUGGGAACCUGCAACACAUGUCCAUGGAGGGCGGUGUAGCCAUGUCAGGCGGCUCCCCUGUCGACCGGACUAGGAAAAAAACGGAUAGAUCUCCUAGUAGGGGAGGGUUCCCUUACAUGUCAACAGCGUCCUCCAGCAACAUCUUCCAUCGUCGGUUAGCCGGAGACAACGCAGCCUUCUACCGCGAUGAGGGGUGGGGAAUAGCUGCUCCAGACGGCGGCUGGUUUCGAGAACCACCGUGGCAAGGAGUGAGGGAGGGAGGUUGGAUCUG